RNAcentral lists this ribosomal RNA (486 nucleotides) under uncultured bacterium. Its description in RNAcentral is "partial 16S ribosomal RNA". It matches the Rfam family "Bacterial small subunit ribosomal RNA", at positions 29 to 507 of the family's 1533-position model. The record is from RNAcentral.
AUUGAACGCUGGCGGCAUGCCUUACACAUGCAAGUCGAACGGCAGCACGGGUGCUUGCACCUGGUGGCGAGUGGCGAACGGGUGAGUAAUACAUCGGAACAUGUCCUGUAGUGGGGGAUAGCCCGGCGAAAGCCGGAUUAAUACCGCAUACGAUCUACGGAUGAAAGCGGGGGACCUUCGGGCCUCGCGCUAUAGGGUUGGCCGAUGGCUGAUUAGCUAGUUGGUGGGGUAAAGGCCUACCAAGGCGACGAUCAGUAGCUGGUCUGAGAGGACGACCAGCGACACUGGGACUGAGACACGGCCCAGACUCCGACGGGAGGCAGCGGUGGGGAAUUGUGGACAAUGGGGGAAAGCCUGCUCCAGCAAUGCAGCGUGUGUGAAGAAGGCCUUCGGGUUGUAAAGCACUUUUGUCCGGAAAGAAAGCCUUGGCCCUAAUACGGUCGGGGGAUGACGGUACCGGAAGAAUAAGCACCGGCUAACUACGUG